This is a long non-coding RNA of Thalassophryne amazonica, 1578 nucleotides long. RefSeq lists it as uncharacterized. Lineage: Eukaryota; Metazoa; Chordata; Actinopteri; Batrachoidiformes; Batrachoididae. The record is from RefSeq and is a predicted model, not a curated record. The transcript is spliced from 2 exons.
GCAGACCCUAAAUAAGCAUGUCUUUGAAGCUAAAAUGUUUCAAGAUUUUUUUUAUUUUAAUUUUGAUAUGGCCUACAGCAAAAAAAAAAGUAAAGUAAAGAAAAACUCAUUAGACAGGCUGAUCGCCUCCAUGCCACUCCAUACUGAUGCAGUAAUUCAUUCAAAAAUAGCCCCAAAACAAAGUAUUGAAUGCACAAAUCAACAUACUGUUCAGAAUUUUGACAUUCCAUUUUUGAAUUGAUCAGAUGGAAUAUUCUAAUAUUUUGAGAUACACAUUUUGUAUUUUUGAAGCUGUAGAGUGGAUUAUUAUUAAAAAAAAUUCUUGGAACACUGCCGACAGUUUGAACCGGUUGAUAUGAUUGGGAGCAGUAUUGCCACAGUUACUUUGAAAAGUUACUUUUUUAAUUACUUUAUAUAGUUACUUUAUUAGGAUCUGCAGACAACUUGCAACAACUAUGGUUGAGUAAUUGGCAAAGUAACUAAUAGUUACUUUUCUAAGUACUCGAUCUUAAAACUAACCAAGUUAGAUUAGUAGUUACAUCAUUAGUUACAUUCAGUAGCUGCUGACAAAUUGUGCCUGCUAAAGAAGUAACUGUAUAAAGUAACUGCAAAAUGUAGCUGUUAAAAAGUAACUCAUGAAGUAACUUUUCAAAGUUACUUUGGCAACACUGUUUAGGAGUUUAUCUAUAAUAAAAUUAUUUACUACCUGUUGUAUUUUGUUGUCUAUGUUCGUAUUUAUUUAUGUUGCUAAAAUUAUUUCAGUGCAAAUACAGUUGAAAUGUAGAAGUAUAUUUAAAAAUGUAGAAGAGUAUUUAAUAAUUUCACUUUGUGAAAAAUAUUGGGCUUUUUCCACAAUAUAUAUAUUUUUUAGAUGUACGUGAACAUAUGUGCAUAAGGUCGAAUUGUGAUGAGUGUUAGGUACAGAAAUGUGCAAAAAGGUUUUUACUGUAGUAGGUGAUGGGAGAAGAACAGGCAAGAUACGUAUGAUACUGUGACUUUUUAAAUAUUGAAAUGUGUGCAAAAUGUACAAAAAUUUGCAAGGGAAGGUGUGGAUUCUGCCAUUCCGCAGAGUACGAUGAUUAUUUAAAUAAGUAUGAAAAAAUGUACAAGAAAUGUCGCACGUUUUACUGUUGUUGGUAUAUUAAUGUUACAUUUGAUUGUAUUAUUAUUUCAUGUAAUCUAGUAUGUUGUGGUAGAGCUCUUAAAAUAUCCUGCAACACUUUAAAAUAAAGGCGUGCAAUCACGUGCUUGAGGUUGGGUGAAAGAGUAAAGUUCAAAGGUGAGGGUUGUGUUGUCUUUGUGUUAAAGGAGUGGAGCUCGAUCUCACAUCACUCUUCCCUUUUCCCCGAUUCCUUUCUAAACUCUCCCCCGGGUUUCUACCCUCCCGAACCUCUCCCCUUCUACCCUUACAACCCCAACCCUCCCCCGAUCACUUGUUAGUGAACGAAUCGGGACCAUCUUUUUGAUCUCAGUUCUAUACGGACAGCUACAAUACCUUGCAGGUGCAGUUAUGGACUCCGGUAUGAUUGAAGGAGGGCUUAAUGUCACCCUUACCAUAAGGCUGCUCAUGCAUGGAAA